UAAGAAGUCAGAUAUAUUGCGCCCCUUUCUAUUGUUCAUCUUCCCCAACUCUCAACUCACCAUUAAUUCACCCGAGUUCACUCAAAAUGGUCCCCCCCCCUCCACGUCAUUUGAUUCCCAGCGGUUUUGUCAGUAGGGAGUAUGAAUUUUCUCUCCCAAAUAGCACGAUUUCGGACUCAAAAGGACAAUUGUUAGACGAAUGGAAGCCAUGGAUAGAUGUAAAUCGAUCCACUCCUUCUAUCUGUCCCAAAAAUUGUUCAAAAAAUCGGAAGAUUUUCGGAUUUUUGGGCAGAAGAUUCGAGAAUUUUUGAGGGUUAUAUAUAGGAAGUAAGUCUACUAUUCGUAAAGAGAAAAAAUAUAUAGAGAAAAAUCAGAGAAAAAUCGGAUAGAAUCCCCAACAACUUAGCCAAAAAUUUCUAGGGUUUUUGAGUGCUGAAGUUGUGGCUGGUUGUUCUUUGAAUCUCUGCAUUCUAUCGAUUCUGUCCAAAGUAACCUUUCGAAAUUUCGAUUUAGCUGGCAAGUUCUGCUCGAUACAGUUGCUGCUUCCAUUUGAAUUUGGAGUCAAACUAUGUAUUUGACUAUUCUUCUAUCGAUAUUAAAGAAAUCCUUAUUUAAACAGGUUCUUUUCCUCACCAUCUUAUCUGUUUAGUUUUCUUUGCUGUGAGUUUAAGUGCUCAAGAAUCAUGUUAAAAUGAGCCAGAAUUAAAUGUGUUAUGGUUUGUUGCUGAUGUUUUGUUAUGGAAUGGUCACAUGUUAGUAUCAAUUUUGAGACUAGUUUAACCUGUUAAGAUCAUUUUGAAUACUUCGCGUAAUGUCAAGUUCCUUCUAUAUUUUGAUUCUGAUGUUUGGAUUCAUGUUUCUGUUGCGAACCUUCAUUUAAUUAUUGAGUAUCAAUGAUUGUUGGCACCAUUUGAAGCAUGUGGGAGUUAAAUUGGAGGCUCUUCUUAUUUUAGUUUGUCAUGGAGGAACAAAUCACAAAGAGUUCUGUCAACUCAUUUAAAUAGUUUGUUGGUAUGACUUUCGAAAUGAACUCUUCUGUAUAGUCUAAGUCUUUGAGAUGAAUUUUCUGUAAGUUGGACCUCAUGUGUAUUGUGAGAGUUUCGAGUUAUGAAUACCCUUGCUUGUUGAUCUUUCCUGAGUGUUUAGAGGCAGUUCCUCUCGACUUCAUAUGAUUGUGACUGAAUCUUUGUUGGCCAUACGCUUGGAUCUUCAUUUUUGAAAACGUUUGAUAAAAUAUGUUCUUGACAUGGAUCUUAGGUAUAGAAGCAGUCGGAUAUAGCUUUGUUUCAUGAAUUUGGGCUUUGUUUACAUAGAUUGAAUUCAAAAUCAAUGUGUCUGAUUACGUGAGUGCUUCAUAUAUGUAAAUAGGGAACCUAUUGACCAAACUCGCUAUUAUAGCUGGAAGCAAGUUUUAAGAUCUUG
This 1422-nucleotide long non-coding RNA is filed under the name Nicotiana tabacum (common tobacco). RNAcentral's name for it is "long non-coding RNA (NTAB_LNC008835)". The record is from RNAcentral. Lineage: Eukaryota; Viridiplantae; Streptophyta; Magnoliopsida; Solanales; Solanaceae.